Molecule: ribosomal RNA, 670 nt
Filed under: uncultured Bacteroidota bacterium
Lineage: Bacteria; Pseudomonadati; Bacteroidota
Description: bacterial SSU rRNA
Rfam family: Bacterial small subunit ribosomal RNA
Source: RNAcentral
GGGCCAAUAAGUCAGAGGUGAAAGGCCACGGCUCAACCGUGGGACUGCCUUUGAUACUGUUGGUCUUGAGUUAUAGUGGGGUUGCCGGAACAUGUGGUGUAGCGGUGAAAUGCAUAGAUAUCACAUAGAACACCGAUCGCGAAGGCAGGUGGCCAACUAUAUACUGACGCUGAUGGACGAAAGCGUGGGGAGCGAACGGGAUUAGACACCCCGGUAGUCCACGCCGUAAACGAUGGAUACUAGCUGUGGGGACUUCGGUCUCCGUGGCCAAGCGAAAGUGAUAAGUAUCCCACCUGGGGAGUACGUUCGCAAGAAUGAAACUCAAAGGAAUUGACGGGGGCCCGCACAAGCGGUGGAGCAUGUGGUUUAAUUCGAUGAUACGCGAGGAACCUUACCAGGGCUUAAAUGCAGUAUGACAGAUUCAGAGAUGGAUUUUUCUUCGGACAUAUUGCAAGGUGCUGCAUGGUUGUCGUCAGCUCGUGCCGUGAGGUGUCAGGUUAAGUCCUAUAACGAGCGCAACCCCUGCCGUUAGUUGCCAGCAUGUAAAGAUGGGGACUCUAACGGGACUGCCGGUGCAAACCGUGAGGAAGGUGGGGACGACGUCAAAUCAUCACGGCCCUUACGUCCUGGGCUACACACGUGCUACAAUGGCCGGUACAGAGGGAAGCCA